GACGGAGGGGGCAAGCGUUGUCCGGAAUUACUGGGCGUAAAGCGCUCGUAGGCGGUGUCAUACGGCGGUGGUGAAAGCUCCCGGCUCAACUGGGAGAGGCCCGCCGCAACGGUGGCACUUGAGGUUGGUAGAGGCAGAUGGAAUUCCUGGUGUAGCGGUGAAAUGCGUAGAGAUCAGGAGGAACACCCAUGGCGAAGGCAGUCUGCUGGGCCACACCUGACGCUGAGGAGCGAAAGCUAGGGGAGCGAAC
This 250-nucleotide ribosomal RNA is filed under the name uncultured bacterium. RNAcentral describes it as "partial 16S ribosomal RNA". It matches the Rfam family "Bacterial small subunit ribosomal RNA", at positions 524 to 773 of the family's 1533-position model. The record is from RNAcentral.